CUUUUUUUUUCAUUUCAAUUAUUCUUUCUUGCUUCUUUCCUUUGCCCUGUUUUUGGUCGAGAGAAAUCGGGAGGAACAGAGAGAGAGAGAGAGAGAGAGAGAGAGAGAGAGCUUCAGGAAGAGCUCGACUUUGCCUCAGGUUCAAUUACCGACCAAUUUCGGAUGAGCUAGGAGCUAGAUUAACCGCACAAGAUAUCUUUUUGGACAACGGGGAUCAGCGCGGAAGAUCUUUUUGCAGUAGGGCCCACUCCUAGUAUAAGUAGUAAGUUCUUGUAGAAUGUUAUGAUUAAGUUACGACCUGAAACUUUUGUUUAGUUGGGUUAGUGAUAUGGUUGUGGAAAGUACUCUCUUGAGAGUUAUAUAUAUAUAUAUCAGAACCGGCUGAAUUGGUUAUAUACUUUUGGUAUAGCUUGCUGAAUUGGUUAACUGUUUGGGAGGUGGAAAACAUGUUAUGAAUAAAUUGUUUAUGUGA
Non-coding RNA from Punica granatum (pomegranate), 472 nucleotides. NCBI's taxonomy places the organism in Eukaryota, Viridiplantae, Streptophyta, Magnoliopsida, Myrtales, Lythraceae. The record is from RefSeq and is a predicted model, not a curated record.